RNAcentral lists this ribosomal RNA (301 nucleotides) under uncultured bacterium. RNAcentral's name for it is "partial 16S ribosomal RNA". It matches the Rfam family "Bacterial small subunit ribosomal RNA", at positions 509 to 807 of the family's 1533-position model. The record is from RNAcentral.
CAUUAGCCGCGGGAAUACGUAGGGUGCGAACGUUAAUCGGAAUUACUGGGCGUAAAGCGUGCGCAGGCGGUUGUGUAAGACAGGUGUGAAAUCCCCGGGCUUAACCUGGGAACUGCGCUUGUGACUGCACAGCUAGAGUAUGGCAGAGGGGGGUGGAAUUCCACGUGUAGCAGUGAAAUGCGUAGAGAUGUGGAGGAACACCGAUGGCGAAGGCAGCCCCCUGGGCCAAUACUGACGCUCAUGCACGAAAGCGUGGGGAGCAAACAGGAUUAGAUACCCGCGUAGUCCCUGUCUCUUAUAC